GGCGCGGUCUGGCUGGCGCUCACGCUGGCCUCGGUAAAGCCGGUGGAGCGCCCGUCGGCGCUGGCCAGGUUCAAAUCCACGGUCAUCGCGCCA
This 93-nucleotide transfer RNA is filed under the name Rhodospirillales bacterium. Its description in RNAcentral is "tRNA-OTHER". Lineage: Bacteria; Pseudomonadati; Pseudomonadota; Alphaproteobacteria; Rhodospirillales. The record is from RNAcentral.